RNAcentral lists this long non-coding RNA (772 nucleotides) under Setaria viridis. RNAcentral's name for it is "long non-coding RNA (SVIR_LNC009620)". Lineage: Eukaryota; Viridiplantae; Streptophyta; Magnoliopsida; Poales; Poaceae. The record is from RNAcentral.
AAGGGAGAAAGGCAAACCAGCUUAUUAUCACAUGGUAGAGUAUUUUAAACAUGUUUAGGGCGGAGCACAUUAUGUUUAUCAUGUUUUGCACAACAACAAAUGUGACCUUUGGAAGAUAGCCCUCCUCUAAUUAAACUCGCACAACAACAUGCUAAACUUGCACAUCGUGUUCAUCUCGGUGAGCUCAUGAAGUACUAGAGUGUGAGGGAAUGAUACUUAUGAGCACUCUGAUGAUGAAACUAGUGCAACUUUGCUUUGGUGAAACUAGUGCACUACUACAGGAUGGUAUAGCACGCUUCCUUUUUCCCUAUGAAAAUGAAGAUUUUAAUGAUCUGAUAGCAGCUGGCAAAACAAAUGAUUGCGAAGAUGUUUGGAGAUGAUAAUGAUACUUGUGCGCACUCUAAUGAUGAACACAUAGAGGAACAUUUGGUCCGUCAACGUAUUUCAGAUUAGCACGUCAAAUCGCACUCGAGACCUGUCACCAACUCCUCCAUCACUUUCCAAAGGUAAAUCAGCUUAUUAUCACAUGGUAGUAUGUUUGAAACAUGUUUAGGGCACAACACAUUACAUUUAUCAUCUUUUGCACAACAACAAAUGUGACCUUUGGAAGAUAGCCCUCCUCUAAACUUGUGAUGCAUUGUAAUGAUAUGUCAUGUAUGUCUCACUUGUAUCAUAGCUGUUAAAGUACCACAGCAAAUCGCACUCGAGAUCUCUGACCAACUCCUCCACUACUUUCCAAGGCAAAUCAGCCAAACUCCUUGUUAUAUUCCAC